This is a long non-coding RNA of Magnolia sinica, 475 nucleotides long. RefSeq lists it as uncharacterized. NCBI's taxonomy places the organism in Eukaryota, Viridiplantae, Streptophyta, Magnoliopsida, Magnoliales, Magnoliaceae. The record is from RefSeq and is a predicted model, not a curated record. The transcript has 3 exons.
UUCACUUCAUGUUUCAGGGAGAACAAGUGGUCAAGUACACUGCCAUGUUAGCUUGUGGCAACUAUCAUGGAGUUGUGGGCUUUGCAAAAGGAAAAGGCCCAGCAAUUCCCAUUGCCCUCCAAAAGGUAUUCAUGAACUUACUUCUUCAGAUGGUCUGAAUCCCCUUGUUGUUGAUGAUCGUGCUUUGGCAGCAGAUGCACUGCCUCUUGAGGGAGGAGGAUGGUGCAACAAUGUUACGACUUGCCUCUCAUGAAAAGAAAACCAUUUGGGUUCAUCCAAGAAGACUGGGUUUGAUGUCUACUUCUCCAUGGCUAGGGGGAAUGCCACUUUGCCUGCUAUGGAAAUGACCAAGUGCUUUGACAUCAGCUAGUAAGCCAUUGUUAUUAAGGUGUCUCUUGCUUGAUUUUAUACAUUAAGUAUCUGUUAUCAUAUUCAAUUCGUAAGAUGCUCCAAGUGUACAAGUAUGAGCUUGAGC